Non-coding RNA from Arvicanthis niloticus (Nile rat), 844 nucleotides. The record is from RefSeq and is a predicted model, not a curated record. NCBI's taxonomy places the organism in Eukaryota, Metazoa, Chordata, Mammalia, Rodentia, Muridae.
GUGUCUGGAAGUUAUGGCCGCGCCGGUCCGUGGUGCUCUCCCUGAAAGGCCUAGGCUUCGGGUCAUGGCAUGCCUUUGGCACUCGAGAGACAAGCUGCAGGUUCCAUCACAGAAGUCAUGGCUGGAUCCCUGAAACGGACUCUGUGUGGUCACCACUCAGAUGAUGGGCUUCUGCCUCACGUUAACCUCUGAAGUUCAGCCAUAAGAACACGCCUUGAGCCCUCAGUCCAUUUUGAUUGGCAUGUUGGCUCCAAGAAGCAUCACCGUAAGGCGUGGUACAUAAGGGGCUUCGGGGUGAGUCUGCUUGGUGUAGGCUGUUUCUGGGCUCUCAAGGGGUGUUGAUACAGCCACACAGGUAGCCGUCCUGCACCUGGAUUUUUGCCUGGACUCAGAACGAUGCCUGUGAGAAGAACUUCCCCACACGGCUCAAUGGAGCACCAGUGCUUCCUAGUCCUGUAGUCUGGCUGAGGAAUGUGCAGGCAGAUUGGCAUGUUGCCUCCAAGAAGCAUCACCGUAAGGCGUGGUUUACAUAAGGGGCUUCGGGGUGAGUCUCUGGUUAUUGCUCUGUAGUGCCAGAGAGAACUAUAUAGCUGCUGCUGCUGCUGCUGCUCCUGCCUUUCAUUCCCCAGUCAUCGAGAGACCUUGGAGUUUGUUCUGCAAGAGGAGCCAGGAGUGACUGAUCACCCUGGGAAGCCUUUGGCAGCGGUGACAGCACUCAGUUGGAGGCACUGGAGAGGCCCCUGCUUAGCCCAGAAAAGCAUUUAUGAGAGUAGAUUUUUUCUGGGAAGUCAGGGUUGGGCUUUGUAUUUUGAAGCACAAAUAAACUUUAUAAAAUUUAACUUUA